AUCAUAUAUAUCAACAGCCACGUGAUAUUACACCACUGCAAGACAACGUACAAAAGGCACGAUAUGGCGAAUGACUGACCACAACCAGGGAACAUGUUAACAUCACAAGAGUCACAAACUUCUGCCAAAAUCGUUCGAUGGAUAUUAGCAACAUUAUCAUUCUUUUGUCUGAUCAAUUCUGACGAUGGAUUAAAAUGUUCUGUGUGCACAACGUCAAACCCAUCCUGUAUCGAAGACCCCCCACCAGCAAGACACUGUCCGCUACAAAACGGAGAAUGUUACGUUUUAUGUGUAAAAAAUGCUCAAGGAAUAGUAUUAGAAACAAGUCGGGGAUGCACAGCGCAGCUUGACAGCCAGUGCAUGAUAGCAAUACGGUGGGAUGGCGGAGCUAUGGAGCCAAUACAAACUUGCACGCAUCGUUGUACAUGGGAUGGAUGCAACGCUGUACCAUGUGAAAUGAUAAGAUGAGCGGUACCUGGAGCAGUAAUAUUACGUUACGGGGUCUUUUUAGCAAAUGUGUGUAAAAGUCAAAGUUUUUCUCGACAGAGAGCUUUUCAAGGUUCAGGAUAUUGUGUUCAUAACUGCAUGAUUUAGUAAGAUCAGCUAAUAUAUCGUGCAAUUGUACCCGGGACACUCUUGUCUAGGACAUUAUGUAUUGUUACAAUGGGAUGGAAAGACAAGAAGCAGGGUCGAUCAAGGCGGCGGUGUGAUCUCAAAGUGUCAGGAUUCUGGAUUGGGAUUUCAUGCACGCGACAUUUUGUGCCAUUCAAUACGAUGCCCAAUUCAAUAACAUCAAUACACUGUACGGAAUGACAAGUUGAAAGGGUUGACGUGAUCGAUGAAAGUAAAGGAAAUAGUGGGUGAACAAGCCCCAUUUUAACCCCCCCCCCCCCCUAGAGAGUGAAAACGGUGGUACACCUCCGGAGAUUCAAUUUCAUUUUUCAAAUCGUUAAAAAACAUAUCUUCUCUUAGUGUUUCUUCGUUGUAACUUUCUUGUGAGGUGUAAAAAGAAUAUGGCACAGAACCUUUCUUUCUCAGUAAUUUGAAAUCUUCGUUGUCUGGAUAAAACUUCCUGGUUAUUUUAAAGUCACCAUCUACCAUUGAUUUUGUGAUGUUGUCCAAACCGGAUUGCAGAAAUCUGAAGGAAUUUAAAACCGAAAACAACCAAACUGAAAAGAAAUAUCUUCUUCUGCUGACUUGGGAAGUAGUUUCAGUCUGUUACCUUUUGUCUUCUUAAUUAACGUUUUUUUUAACCAGUGUUUUAAUGAAAAGAUGAAAGUCAUAAUGACUAAGAUUGUUCAAGAAAAUUAGUACAAAGUUGGCAUGUUUCGCAAUGAGGUUACAGAAGUUGUGGGCUGCACCUCUAAACUUACCACUGCAAUGAUCAUGA
Lineus longissimus is the source of this 1390-nucleotide long non-coding RNA. RefSeq lists it as uncharacterized. The transcript is spliced from 3 exons. The record is from RefSeq and is a predicted model, not a curated record. NCBI's taxonomy places the organism in Eukaryota, Metazoa, Nemertea, Pilidiophora, Heteronemertea, Lineidae.